RNAcentral lists this non-coding RNA (385 nucleotides) under Pan troglodytes (chimpanzee). Lineage: Eukaryota; Metazoa; Chordata; Mammalia; Primates; Hominidae. The record is from RNAcentral.
CGGAAGGUGGGGGAGGAGUGCGAGGGUCUCUGAGACAGGUUGGGAGCCAGCCCCACCUCCAUUUCCAAAGCGGGGGUCCAGGCACAGGAACAGCCAAACGCCCGAACCAGUGGGGUUACCUUUGCCACUUCAUCCAAUCCGAGCAUCGGAGUAUAAUUUUAAAAAAAGUCACAGAAGAAUGUGGAGACACUUAGCAAACCUGACUCUCAUAAGGUUCCCUAUUUUGUCAGUAAGGAAGUAAACAACCGCUAAAACAACCCUCUAACAACAGAAGACCCUCAUGAGAACACUAGGCAGCAGAAGCUUCUUUAGCAGUAAAAGAUAUCUGGAUAUUCAUAUUUUGUUCCAUGAUCUUUAACAUUAAAUAAAUAAACUUAAUAUUGAA